Molecule: non-coding RNA, 124 nt
Organism: Triticum aestivum (bread wheat)
Lineage: Eukaryota; Viridiplantae; Streptophyta; Magnoliopsida; Poales; Poaceae
Source: Rfam
AAUGUAGUCCCUCCGUCCGAAAAUACUUGUCAUCAAAAAAAAUAAAAAGGAAUGUAUCUAGAUGUAGAUACAUCCCUUUUCAUCCAUUUUGAUGACAAGUAUUUUCGGACAGAGGGAGUAUGCA